This 100-nucleotide transfer RNA is filed under the name Salmonella enterica subsp. enterica serovar Infantis str. 335-3. Its description in RNAcentral is "tRNA-Leu". It matches the Rfam family "tRNA". Rfam says of the family: Transfer RNA (tRNA) molecules are approximately 80 nucleotides in length. Their secondary structure includes four short double-helical elements and three loops (D, anti-codon, and T loops). The record is from RNAcentral. Lineage: Bacteria; Pseudomonadati; Pseudomonadota; Gammaproteobacteria; Enterobacterales; Enterobacteriaceae.
GCGAAGGUGGCGGAAUUGGUAGACGCGCUAGCUUCAGGUGUUAGUGUCCUUACGGACGUGGGGGUUCAAGUCCGGGGUUCAAGUCCCCCCCCUCGCACCA